AAGAAUAAGAAGAAGAACAGAAGAAAAAAGGAUCAAUCAUGUGAGCCUUCUAGUAGUAACUCCAAGAAGGAUGGAGCCAUUUGUUCUUCUUCCUCAAGUCAUAGUUCAGAAAUAAAAGAUGGUACUGAAGACUCUUUUGCAUCAAAGGUUGAGUUUGAAGAUGCCGAUAUUGACGAUGAAUUAGAUCCUGUGAUGAAGGAAGAACUUGAUAGGGA
Molecule: unclassified non-coding RNA, 215 nt
Filed under: Hevea brasiliensis (rubber tree)
Lineage: Eukaryota; Viridiplantae; Streptophyta; Magnoliopsida; Malpighiales; Euphorbiaceae
Source: RNAcentral